GAUGAACGCUGGCGGCGUGCCUAAUACAUGCCAGUCGAGCGAACGGACGAGAAGCUUGCUUUUCUGAUGUUAGCGGCGGACGGGCGAGUAACACGUGGAUAACCUACCUAUAAGACUGGGAUAACUUCGGGAAACCGGAGCUAAUACCGGAUAAUAUUUUGAACCGCAUGGUUCAAAAGUGAAAGACGGUCUUGCUGUCACUUAUAGAUGGAUCCGCGCUGCAUUAGCUAGUUGGUAAGGUAACGGCUUACCAAGGCAACGAUGCAUAGCCGACCUGAGAGGGUGAUCGGCCACACUGGAACUGAGACACGGUCCAGACUCCUACGGGAGGCAGCAGUAGGGAAUCUUCCGCAAUGGGCGAAAGCCUGACGGAGCAACGCCGCGUGAGUGAUGAAGGUCUUCGGAUCGUAAAACUCUGUUAUUAGGGAAGAACAUAUGUGUAAGUAACUGUGCACAUCUUGACGGUACCUAAUCAGAAAGCCACGGCUAACUACGUG
This 497-nucleotide ribosomal RNA is filed under the name uncultured bacterium. RNAcentral's name for it is "partial 16S ribosomal RNA". It matches the Rfam family "Bacterial small subunit ribosomal RNA", at positions 28 to 507 of the family's 1533-position model. The record is from RNAcentral.